Molecule: ribosomal RNA, 465 nt
Filed under: uncultured bacterium
Lineage: Bacteria
Description: partial 16S ribosomal RNA
Rfam family: Bacterial small subunit ribosomal RNA
Source: RNAcentral
CCUACGGGCGGCAGCAGUGGGGAAUAUUGCGCAAUGGGCGAAAGCCUGACGCAGCGACGCCGCGUGAGGGAUGAAGGUUUUCGGAUCGUAAACCUCUGUCAGCAGGGAAGAACGGUCACUGUGCUAAUCAGCAGUGAAUUGACGGUACCUGCAAAGGAAGCACCGGCUAACUCCGUGCCAGCAGCCGCGGUAAUACGGAGGGUGCGAGCGUUAAUCGGAAUUACUGGGCGUAAGGCGCUCGUAGGCGGUAGGUCAAGUCACGGGUGAAAUCCCCGCGCUCAACGUGGGAACUGCCUUUGAAACUGGCAAACUUGAGUGUGUGAGAGGAUAGUGGAAUUCCAGGUGUAGCAGUGAAAUCCGUAGAUAUCAGGAGGAACAUCAGUGGCGAAGGCGACUAUCUGGCACAUAACUGACGCUGAGGAGCGAAAGCGUGGGGAGCAAACAGGAUUAGAUACCCCAGUAGUC